ACGCUUUCGCUCCUCAGCGUCAGUAAUGGCCCAGAGAUCCGCCUUCGCCACCGGUGUUCCUCCUGAUAUCUGCGCAUUUCACCGCUACACCAGGAAUUCCGAUCUCCCCUACCACACUCUAGCCUGCCCGUAUCGGAUGCAGACCCGGGGUUAAGCCCCGGGCUUUCACACCCGACGUGACAAGCCGCCUACGAGCUCUUUACGCCCAAUAAUUCCGGACAACGCUUGCGCCCUACGUAUUACCGCGGCUGCUGGCACGUAGUUAGCCGGCGCUUCUUCUGCAGGUACCGUCACUCUCGCUUCUUCCCUGCUGAAAGAGGUUUACAACCCGAAGGCCGUCAUCCCUCACGCGGCGUCGCUGCAUCAGGCUUUCGCCCAUUGUGCAAUAUUCCCCACUGCUGCCUCCCGUAGGAGUCUGGGCCGUGUCUCAGUCCCAGUGUGGCCGGUCGCCCUCUCAGGCCGGCUACCCGUCGUCGCCUUGGUAGGCCAUUACCCCACCAACAAGCUGAUAGGCCGCGGGCUCAUCCUUCACCGCCGGAGCUUUCCAGUCCNGGAGAUGCCUNCCGAACUNNUAUCCGGUAUUAGACCCCGUUUCCAGGGCUUGUCCCAGAGUGAAGGGCAGAUUGCCCACGUGUUACUCACCCGUUCGCCACUAAUCCACCCCGAAGGGCUUCAUCGUUCGACUUGCAUGUGUUAAGCACGCCGCCAGCGUUCGUCCUGAGCCAGGA
Molecule: ribosomal RNA, 728 nt
Filed under: Streptomyces sp. 01-T1-6
Lineage: Bacteria; Bacillati; Actinomycetota; Actinomycetes; Kitasatosporales; Streptomycetaceae
Description: partial 16S ribosomal RNA
Source: RNAcentral